CAGUAGCCGCGGGAAUACGUAGGGUGCAAGCGUUAAUCGGAAUUACUGGGCGUAAAGCGUGCGCAGGCGGUCCGCUAAGACAGAUGUGAAAUCCCCGGGCUUAACCUGGGAACUGCAUUUGUGACUGGCGGGCUAGAGUAUGGCAGAGGGGGGUAGAAUUCCACGUGUAGCAGUGAAAUGCGUAGAGAUGUGGAGGAAUACCGAUGGCGAAGGCAGCCCCCUGGGCCAAUACUGACGCUCAUGCACGAAAGCGUGGGGAGCAAACAGGAUUAGAUACCCGUGUAGUCCCUGUCUCUUAUAC
RNAcentral lists this ribosomal RNA (301 nucleotides) under uncultured bacterium. RNAcentral describes it as "partial 16S ribosomal RNA". It matches the Rfam family "Bacterial small subunit ribosomal RNA", at positions 509 to 807 of the family's 1533-position model. The record is from RNAcentral.